Molecule: long non-coding RNA, 922 nt
Filed under: Mus musculus (house mouse)
Lineage: Eukaryota; Metazoa; Chordata; Mammalia; Rodentia; Muridae
Description: long non-coding RNA chr5:133443341-133444263
Source: RNAcentral
CAUGAAAAACAUCUUUUUAACUCAUAUAGAGACAAUGUACCAAAUCAAAAAUUUACACAAGUAUUGUUUAGUAAAGAAGCAAGUUUAUAGGAGUUAUUUACAAGUUUACAGGAGCAUGGAUGACUAAAAUGCCCAACCCAACAUGUGUAGUAGCUCUCAAGUGACAUCCUUAAAACCCUUUAUACAACUUGCAGUGGUUCAUCCAACCACAGUCUCCAUCCACUUCUGAAUAAUCAUUGCUGUACCUUGUAAGUCUUGUAAGUUUCAGGAACGUCCUGAGACUUGUGAGUUUUGUUUACUUCCUGAGCCUUAAUGGAAAGUAUCAUUUUGCAGGAAAUAGUUAUACAACAAGCCCUAGCUACCCUAGGAAGAGGGGACAUUGUUUGGAAACUAGGCCUUUAAAGGUUCACAACCUUUAAGAGAACUCAAAAGAGCAGUGCUGUGAUCUUACGGCUUUAGUGCCUUUAUAAGAAAAGAUAUCAAAGAAUAUACUUUUCCCUCUCAUACAGACAUAAAAAGACAAAGUCAGUGAACAGAAAUCUGUGGAUAAACCAAGAGAAAAAAAUCCAGAGAGACACUGAAUUUGUAUUUCUGCAACCUCUUGAACUAGUACAAAUGAUUUUUUGCUGUUUAAGCCACCCAGUCUGUGAUAUAGUGUUAAAAUAACACAGACAAACACAUCCUAAACUGCAUAAGCUUAAGUUUUGAUAUGUGGACUCUUUGUUUUUAGUUCAAUUAUUGUUGUACUAUUUAGCAUGAAAUCUAUACUUCUGCCUCAUUCACCUCAGUAAUUUGCAAAACAUCAAAAUUGGAAAAUAGGCUUAAUGUGAUUUGUUUCUUUAUAGUAUAUAGAUUCUUCAGGGUUGGGAGAGAAUGUGAUGAUCAUUUGCUAAGUCAUUUCAUUCUGGAGAGCAUUUAUUAU